CAUCUAUAGUUUCAGACAUGGAAUCGCCGAAAACGUCGGCGGUAAAUGCAAAGCUAAGCGGC
Neisseria meningitidis MC58 is the source of this 62-nucleotide small RNA. It matches the Rfam family "porB RNA". The record is from Rfam. Lineage: Bacteria; Pseudomonadati; Pseudomonadota; Betaproteobacteria; Neisseriales; Neisseriaceae.